This 37-nucleotide non-coding RNA is filed under the name Schistosoma mansoni. The record is from RNAcentral. Lineage: Eukaryota; Metazoa; Platyhelminthes; Trematoda; Strigeidida; Schistosomatidae.
AGCUGACGAGUCCCAGAUGGGACGAAACGCGCGUCCU